AGUCAAGAGUACGUGAAACCGUUUAGGGGUAAACCUGAGAAACCCGAAAGAUUGAAGGAAGAAAUUCAUUCGCGUUUCGAUACAGGCAAUGAAGAAUUUAUAUGACGAUGUACAUUUUUAUAUGUAUGACGCAUUAAUUUUUCAUUUGAUCCGGUAACGAACGUGUGCACUUUUCUUCUGGUAGGACGUCGCAAUCCGUUGGGUGUCGAUCUACGAUUUUAUAGUGGAGAUCACUUGUGUCAUAUUUACGUAUGUUACAUAAGUGAACCUGUAUUAUCUGGUCGACGAAAAUUUUUAACACUCCGACGGUAGUCAAAUGGUUUGGGGCCGCUCUCUUUGGAGCGUUCGACUCGUAACAAGCGCGCUAGAUGUGUUGAAGUCCGGACCUAGUGCCGGUCCCAACCUCUAGUGACUGUUCGUUACGAUGUUCUCGAACAGACCUCAUUUAAUUGUGAAACCGAUUGGCGACGCUAUAGCUUUGGGUACUUUCAGGACCCGUCUUGAAACACGGACCAAGGAGUCUAGCAUGUACGCAAGUCAUUGGGAAUUAUUAAACCUAAAGGCAUAAUGAAAGUAAAGAUCUUUCUUGUAGAGAUCGAGGGAAGAAGAAUGAAUUAAGUUUUUUAUUAGACUGUCAUUCUGCAUUCCCGGGGCGUUUCAUUCUCAUUACGAGUUGAGGCGCACUAAGAGCGUACACGCUGGGACCCGAAAGAUGGUGAACUAUGCCUGGUCAGGAUGAAGUCAGGGGAAACCCUGAUGGAGGUCCGUAGCGAUUCUGACGUGCAAAUCGAUCGUCGGAACUGGGUAUAGNNNNNNNNNNNNNNNNNNNNNNNNNNNNNNNNNNNNNNNNGGGCGAAAGACUAAUCGAACCAUCUAGUAGCUGGUUCCCUCCGAAGUUUCCCUCAGGAUAGCUGGCGCUCAUUGUUUACGAGUCUCAUCCGGUAAAGCGAAUGAUUAGAGGCAUUGGGGUCGAAACGACCUCAACCUAUUCUCAAACUUUAAAUGGGUGAGAUCUCCGGCUUGCUUGAAAAAUCUUUUUAAGAAUGAAGCCGUGAGUAUCGGAUCAGAGUGCCAAGUGGGCCAUUUUUGGUAAGCAGAACUGGCGCU
This 1107-nucleotide ribosomal RNA is filed under the name Xyloterinus politus. RNAcentral's name for it is "partial large subunit ribosomal RNA". It matches the Rfam family "Eukaryotic large subunit ribosomal RNA", at positions 386 to 1157 of the family's 3401-position model. Lineage: Eukaryota; Metazoa; Arthropoda; Insecta; Coleoptera; Curculionidae. The record is from RNAcentral.